This 498-nucleotide ribosomal RNA is filed under the name uncultured bacterium. RNAcentral describes it as "partial 16S ribosomal RNA". It matches the Rfam family "Bacterial small subunit ribosomal RNA", at positions 29 to 523 of the family's 1533-position model. The record is from RNAcentral.
AUUGGACGCUGGCGGCAUGCUUUACACAUGCAAGUCGAACGGUAACAGGCCGCAAGGUGCUGACGAGUGGCGAACGGGUGAGUAAUGCAUCGGAACGUGCCCAGUCGUGGGGGAUAACGCAGCGAAAGCUGUGCUAAUACCGCAUACGAUCUACGGAGGAAAGCGGGGGACCGUAAGGCCUCGCGCGAUUGGAGCGGCCGAUGUCAGAUUAGGUAGUUGGUGGGGUAAAGGCUCACCAAGCCAACGAUCUGUAGCUGGUCUGAGAGGACGACCAGCCACACUGGGACUGAGACACGGCCCAGACUCCUACGGGAGGCAGCAGUGGGGAAUUUUGGACAAUGGGCGCAAGCCUGAUCCAGCAAUGCCGCGUGCAGGAAGAAGGCCUUCGGGUUGUAAACUGCUUUUGUACGGAACGAAAAGGUUUGGGUUAAUACCCUGGGCCGAUGACGGUACCGUAAGAAUAAGCACCGGCUAACUACGUGCCAGCCGCCGCAGUAA